GACGAACGCUGGCGGCGUGCUUAACACAUGCAAGUCGAACGGACAGGCCCUGCUUUUGUGGGUUGCUCGAGUGCCGCACGCGUGAGUAACACAUGAGUAACCUGCCCUUGACUUUGGGAUAACUUCAGGAAACUGGGGCUAAUACCGGAUAGGAGCUCCUACUCCAUGGUGGGGGUUGGAAAGUUUCGGCGGUUGGGGAUGGACUCGCGGCUUAUCAGCUUGUUGGUGGGUUAGUGGCUUACCAAGGGUUUGACGGGUAGCCGACCUGGGAGGGUGACCGGGCACAAGAGGACUGAGAUACGGCGCAGACUCCUACGGGAGGCAGCAGUGGGGAAUAUUGCACAAUGGGCGGAAGCGUGAUGCAGCAACGCCGCGUGCGGGAUGACGGCCUUCGGGUUGUAAACCGCUUUCGACUGAGACGAAGCGGGAGUGACGGUAAUGGGUAAAGAAGCACCGGCUAACUACGUG
Molecule: ribosomal RNA, 468 nt
Filed under: uncultured bacterium
Lineage: Bacteria
Description: partial 16S ribosomal RNA
Rfam family: Bacterial small subunit ribosomal RNA
Source: RNAcentral